UGAGGAAUAUUGGUCAAUGGGGGCAACCCUGAACCAGCCAAGUCGCGUGAAGGAUGAAGGUCUUAUGGAUUGUAAACUUCUUUUAUACAGGAAUAAAUUGGGGGACGUGUCCCCUUUUGCAUGUACUGUAUGAAUAAGGAUCGGCUAACUCCGUGCCAGCAGCCGCGGUAAUACGGAGGAUCCGAGCGUUAUCCGGAUUUAUUGGGUUUAAAGGGUGCGCAGGCGGGAUGUUAAGUCGGCGGUGAAAUUUUGCAGCUCAACUGUAAAAGUGCCUUCGAUACUGGCUUCCUUGAGUGUAGAUGAAGUAGGCGGAAUUUGUGGUGUAGCGGUGAAAUGCUUAGAUAUCACGAGGAACUCCGAUUGCGCAGGCAGCUUACUAAACUACAACUGACGCUCAUGCACGAAGGCGUGGGGAUCAAAC
Molecule: ribosomal RNA, 421 nt
Filed under: uncultured bacterium
Lineage: Bacteria
Description: bacterial SSU rRNA
Rfam family: Bacterial small subunit ribosomal RNA
Source: RNAcentral